UGAUGCAGCAACGCCGCGUGAGGGACGACGGCUUCGGGUUGUAAACCUCUUUUAGCAGGGAAGAAGCGAAAGUGACGGUACCUGCAGAAAAAGCGCCGGCUAACUACGUGCCAGCAGCCGCGGUAAUACGUAGGGCGCAAGCGUUAUCCGGAAUUAUUGGGCGUAAAGAGCUCGUAGGCGGUUUGUCGCGUCUGCUGUGAAAUCCGGAGGCUCAACCUCCGGCCUGCAGUGGGUACGGGCAGACUAGAGUGCGGUAGGGGAGAUUGGAAUUCCUGGUGUAGCGGUGGAAUGCGCAGAUAUCAGGAGGAACACCGAUGGCGAAGGCAGAUCUCUGGGCCGUAACUGACGCUGAGGAGCGAAAGGGUGGGGAGCAAACAGGCUUAGAUACCCUGGUAGUCCACCCCGUAAACGUUGGGAACUAGUUGUGGGGUCCAUUCCACGGAUUCCGUGACGCAGCUAACGCAUUAAGUUCCCCGCC
RNAcentral lists this ribosomal RNA (478 nucleotides) under Microbacterium oxydans. RNAcentral's name for it is "bacterial SSU rRNA". It matches the Rfam family "Bacterial small subunit ribosomal RNA", at positions 384 to 873 of the family's 1533-position model. Lineage: Bacteria; Bacillati; Actinomycetota; Actinomycetes; Micrococcales; Microbacteriaceae. The record is from RNAcentral.